RNAcentral lists this ribosomal RNA (164 nucleotides) under uncultured bacterium. Its description in RNAcentral is "partial 16S rRNA". It matches the Rfam family "Bacterial small subunit ribosomal RNA", at positions 355 to 511 of the family's 1533-position model. The record is from RNAcentral.
UAGGGAAUCUUCCACAAUGGACGAAAGUCUGAUGGAGCAACGCCGCGUGAGUGAAGAAGGGUUUCGGCUCGUAAAACUCUGUUGUUAAAGAAGAACAUAUCUGAGAGUAACCGUUCAGGUAUUGACGGUAUUUAACCAGAAAGCCACGGCUAACUACGUGCCAA